This 417-nucleotide ribosomal RNA is filed under the name uncultured bacterium. RNAcentral describes it as "bacterial SSU rRNA". It matches the Rfam family "Bacterial small subunit ribosomal RNA", at positions 356 to 773 of the family's 1533-position model. The record is from RNAcentral.
GGGGAAUUUUGCACAAUGGGCGCAAGCCUGAUGCAGCGACGCCGCGUGAGGGAUGGAGGCCUUCGGGUUGUGAACCUCUUUCGCUCAUGGUCAAGCCGCGGAUGUGUCCGUGGUGAGGGUAGUGGGUAAAGAAGCGCCGGCUAACUACGUGCCAGCAGCCGCGGUAAUACGUAGGGCGCGAGCGUUGUCCGGAAUUAUUGGGCGUAAAGGGCUUGUAGGCGGUUUGUCGCGUCUGCCGUGAAAUUCCCUGGCUUAACUGGGGGCGUGCGGUGGGUACGGGCAGGCUUGAGUGCGGUAGGGGAGACUGGAAUUCCUGGUGUAGCGGUGGAAUGCGCAGAUAUCAGGAGGAACACCGGUGGCGAAGGCGGGUCUCUGGGCCGUUACUGACGCUGAGGAGCGAAAGCAUGGGGAGCGAAC